GUAUGUACUCGUGUCUUCGUCUGUUUAGUCAUUUUUAUGUUUGGUCAUUUGUCUGAUUGAAUGCUGGUUUGUUUGCUCCUUUUUGUUAAAAAUAUUAAAAAUAAACGAACACUAUAUUAAUAGUAUACUACCCUAUGUUGACGCGUUUAUACAUACAUGCACAUACACAUACAUAUACACAUAAUAUGUAUAUACAUAUCUUUUUUUAUUUAUAGGAAUUAUUAUUUAAAUACAUUAGUGUUUUACCUAGAUCGAACUGUAAACAUAUAAGGACAAAAUAGAUACAUAUAAAUAAACAUUACAAUCACAAAAACAUAUAAUUUCCAGUGCACUUACUUCUUUUAUUCAUUUGUACAAUUUUGUUUAUUCAUAUCCUCGUAUUAACAUAUAUAAUUUUUUUUUAUUUUUUUUUUCAGAUUUUUAAUAUUUACGAAAUGAGGGCAAAUGUAGAGAUAUACAAUUUACUUUUUAUAAUUAUCUGUCUAUUUCUUAGAAGAGCUACCAUAUUAAAUUUAAUUGUUUAUAUGCAUUUUUUUAAAUUAAAGUACACAUCUACAGAUACUUAUUUUCAUUCAUGUUACUCUAAAAACGGAAAAAUGAUAAGACAAUUUCUAUCUCACCCGAUGGCACCUAAAAUGUUAUUAAACAUUUUCGACAAAAUAUCUCAUUACUUCCAUGUUUAUUUGAACGGCGGUAGGAGGUAAUGUGCCAAGGAGUAACCCAUUUUUUUUUUGAGUCUUUGUGAUUAAUUGUAACGAAUAGAUAAGUAUACACAAUAUGGGCAUAUAUACGUGUUAUAAAUGCCUCAAAGAUUGUUAGAGUACAAUAUUCACAAUGAUGUAUAAAUCUUUUGAAUAGUUUACGAUUGUUAAUGUUUAAAUAAAAAAAUGUCAAAAAAAUGACA
This 904-nucleotide long non-coding RNA is filed under the name Piliocolobus tephrosceles (Ugandan red Colobus). Its description in RNAcentral is "lncRNA (ENSPTEG00000007729.1)". The record is from RNAcentral. Lineage: Eukaryota; Metazoa; Chordata; Mammalia; Primates; Cercopithecidae.